UCGUCGUCGAUUAUCCCUUUGCUUACAACAUUAUCCUCGGCCACACAGCCCUAAAUGCUUUUCAAGCUGUCACAUCCACUUUCCAUCUUGCCGUCAAAUUCCCCACCGACCUUGGGGUCGGUAUGGUAAGGGAAGAGCAGACCGUGGCCAGAGAAUGUUACGCCACUUCACUUAAAGAGGUUAAGCUAAAGAAGGCUAUGAUCAUUGAAGGACUCGACGUCAGAGACGAAGACGAGCUGGUCAGAGGGGAACCAGUGGAAGAGCUUAUCGAGGUCCUCAUCGAUCCCACCAACCCGACAAAAACAGCCAAGAUCAGCAGCCAACUAUCCCCUCAAGCCAAGGCCGAUCUUACAACCCUCCUGACUGAACACAAUGAUGUGUUUGCCUAGACCCAUUCCGA
RNAcentral lists this unclassified non-coding RNA (400 nucleotides) under uncultured bacterium. RNAcentral describes it as "contains 16S-23S intergenic spacer region". The record is from RNAcentral.